UAUGGUCAUAUCACAUUGAAACACUGGGUCCCAUACAAUCACCAAAAAGUUAAGCAAUGUUGAGCCUGGUCGAUACCUAGAUGGAUGACCUCUUGGGAAUACCAAGUGCU
Non-coding RNA from Acanthosepion pharaonis, 110 nucleotides. Lineage: Eukaryota; Metazoa; Mollusca; Cephalopoda; Sepiida; Sepiidae. The record is from the annotation of a GenBank genome assembly.